GGACGUUGCCUGGGGUGCAGGUGCCGAGGGCCAGCCUGAGAGACGGAAGCACCCCAUCACCAGGGAAAUGCAGGCCCACCCUGAGAUUCAGAUUCUGAACCAAAGCUGCCAAAUCUCAUCAUAGAAUACAACACAGACAUUGUCAAAGGGGUUUCUAGGGAGAAGUUGGAAGCUAAAUAGGGUCCUCAGCUUCUGGAGGUCCUAGUAUUACACCUCACAUUUCCGCUCUCCCGGCUCACCAAGGGGCUUCCUGGCUCUGGGAAGGGGCAAGGCAUUUGGAGCAGCUUCAGCCAGUUGCCCGAGGUCUUCGGAAGGAGCCCAUCCGGGGAUCCUGAGGCAGGAGGGAGCUGGAGGUGCAGAAGGAGCCUCCUGGAUUGCAGGCAUGCGCCACAACACCCAGCUCUAUCAUGGGCUGCACCCCCCAGAGCCACUGCAUGCACCGCCUGUCACAAGGUCAAAAGACUACCAGACCAGCAUCUGCUCAAAGUGGACUCGCUCUGCCCUGCCCUGUCCUUUCUCCUAGUACUGCAGAUUAAACCCAGG
Molecule: long non-coding RNA, 543 nt
Filed under: Fukomys damarensis (Damara mole-rat)
Lineage: Eukaryota; Metazoa; Chordata; Mammalia; Rodentia; Bathyergidae
Description: lncRNA (ENSFDAG00000023128.1)
Source: RNAcentral